AGGUGCGCAGCUGUGUGGCCUUAGUUUUGCAAAAACUACUGAGAAAGUAAUAUUUCCGUGCCUU
This 64-nucleotide transfer RNA is filed under the name Rhinebothriidae sp. DJM-2021. RNAcentral's name for it is "tRNA-Cys". The record is from RNAcentral. Lineage: Eukaryota; Metazoa; Platyhelminthes; Cestoda; Rhinebothriidea; Rhinebothriidae.